This 70-nucleotide transfer RNA is filed under the name Loxodonta africana (African savanna elephant). It matches the Rfam family "tRNA". Rfam says of the family: Transfer RNA (tRNA) molecules are approximately 80 nucleotides in length. Their secondary structure includes four short double-helical elements and three loops (D, anti-codon, and T loops). The record is from Rfam by way of RNAcentral. Lineage: Eukaryota; Metazoa; Chordata; Mammalia; Proboscidea; Elephantidae.
GCAUUGGUGGUUCAGUGGUAGAAUUCUUGCCUUCCAUACGGAGACCCGGGUUCAAUUCCUGGUCAGUGCA